Molecule: non-coding RNA, 5679 nt
Organism: Caretta caretta (loggerhead turtle)
Lineage: Eukaryota; Metazoa; Chordata; Testudines; Cheloniidae
Source: RefSeq, a predicted model, not a curated record
CUUUGUCAGAGCUUUUCAUAUGGAAUCACACCAUGAUUGGAAGGUAUCUCCUGGGCCUGAUCCUGUUGAUCCAUGCCAGGACCACGCAGGGGCUGUAUUUUUGGGGCAUCCUCCAGGGCACACGUACAUGGAGGGACAAGGCAAUGAACUUCUCCUCUGCACCAUCAUAUGAAGUGGGCUGUGCCAUUCUUUAGGGGGAUGAAUGGGCCUUGAUGAUAGUACCAUUUGGUAAGUCUGGAAUGGGUUCUAUGGAGUAGGCCAUGCGUUUGAGGGUAGGCCAAGUGUAGGUAGCUCCUGUUCACUAUACCUGUCCUAAACCCUAGUUUUGCCUUAGCAGAGAGAAGGUGAUACUGUUCUACAGUGAUCAUGUACUCCAUUCCUGAAAUGUUCUGUAGAAUCUGCAAGGGCAGAAUGCAAGUAUGUGCAGUGCUGGCAUAUGGGGACACUGCUCAAAGAGGGCCUAGUUAAGGUUGUGUUGUGGGGGUGGCAUGUAGUUCUGUAUUUCCUGGCUUUCAGAAGGUUAAAUUUGCAUUACCUUAGCUCUUCAUUUCCUAGAUUUCAGGGGUUUAAGUGUAGCUGAACUUGAUGUUCUGAGAUAGGGUGACCAGACAGAAAGCAUGAAAAAUCGGGGUGGGGUGGUAAUAGGAGCCUACAUAAGAAAAAGACCCAAAAAUCGGGACUUGUCCCUAUAAAAUCAGGACAUCUGGUCACCCUAUUCUGAGAUGAAGCAUCAUUGGACAAUCUUAACUCUGCCUUAACAAAGUUUUUGGACCUUUAAUUUCCUUUAAAAAAAAAUUCUAAGAACCCCGUGUUCCACAGGCCAGCUCUCCAUCUCUGCUGCCUCUGGCUCCCUGACAACUAUUACCCUGGCCACAGAAGGUACUGAACUGAUGUUGGUCCCUUCACUGCCCCACAAUCACCUCUCUGCCUGUCCAGCACAGCCUGGUCCUCCCUUCCCAGCCUUCCUACCCACAGAGGAAUGGGCAUCAGUGGGGGGCCCAUUAGACUGAGAAUCUGGGUACAAGAUUCAGGAAUAAUACAGGCACUGACACAGUAGUAAAGGCAUAUUUUGAAGGGGGGACAAAAAUGGGCAUGGGUAGGUUUUGGGGAUGCUAAAGCCUCCCUGCUUCCCUCAGUGCACAGCUCUGACCCUCUCCUUUCCUCCCCACGUUCUUCUGCACUUCUCUGACCUUCCCUUUCCCCCUAAAAGCAGCAAUAUCCAGCAUCCUGGAGGCAACACGGGGAAGGACAAAGUCCUGGGUUCCUUCCCCGAUCAGGUUUCAUUGGAGGGAAGGAGAACCACUGAGCCCCCUCCCUUGGCCUGGUGGAGAAGCCAUGGGGAGGAACUUUGAGGUGAUGGGUGUAUCUGGAAGGGGCCUAGGGCAAGGCAGAGCUCGCUCCAUUUUCUUUCCCCUCCUUAUGGUACUGUUCUGUCAGAACUUAUGAGCUCCCAUGGAGCAAAGAUCCCUUUGAGGAUGAUCCCUUAUUCAUAGAGUGAUUGUAGAAAAACUAUACUUUUUGGGAACUUAGUUCUUCAUCAAAGCUCUAAUAAUCAAACUAGGUUUUCAGAAACAUAAUGCUUGUACAAUCCCUUGCAUUAAUAAAAGUCAUUGUCUAAGUGUGUGCUGGCCUCUCCGUAGAUGUGCCCGGUUGGCAAAGGGGCAGAGCUGCAGUCCCAACUCCAGCAUUGCCUGCCCUGCUCCAACAUAUACCCCUAUUUCUCCCUUACCUCUCCAAUUCCUCCAUGUUCCUAUGAAACAAAAAAGUUAUGAAAAUCUGAAAAUGUUAUGAGCAGCUCAUGUUAAUGGGUUGUCUAUCACUAACCCCCAUGACCAGAGGACCCAACAACUUACUUGCUUUCCUUUGAUCACAUUCAGUCCUAUUGUUCAGGAAAUGAUUGCGCCUCAUGAGUCAUAAUUGCAUUACCUUUACUAGAAUCUUUCAUCUGAUAUCUGUUUAAUACUAAUUUCCUUGGUAAUACUUCUAAAGUAAAACCAGAGUGCAUGUAGAUUUUAGAGCACUUUAAAAUAUUGGCUCUUAAACCAGGGCAAAAUUUUCCAAAAGGAGACCCUACAGAAUGCAGGCAGAGAACUCAAAUGUAUAAUACAGAUGCUCUGAAAACUGCCAAGGGUACAGCUCCAAUUCACUUUUCAUAGCCAUUGCUCAGGUUCAGUGGCCAUAGCAUGUCACCUUGAGCCAUCCAGUCACUGUGAUAAGACUGCCUGCGAACUUUCUGUCAUGAACAGAACCCUAGUCUUGCUGCACAUGUGCAUUUCACUCUUUGGCUUGUCAGUUAGGCUCAACCCAGGGUGAAGUUCUAAACUGUACCCUGAAUAGCUUUGGAAAUGUUGCAUUCCCCAAAGAGGCAGUGGGUAGCAUGCAAUAGUUGAGAUAAAUCCAGAGCAGGUAAAAUCAGUGUGGAGACGAUUAGAGCCAUUGUUCAAAACCCAGGUAUGCACAAAAACUGUUAGAAGAACCCAGUGAUUUUGUAAACAUGAUUUUUAGGGGGACUGCAUUUCAGGAACCCUUUGUUCAAAUGACCCCAAAUUUGAAUCCUUCCCCCAGCCCCAUGUUGCAUAGCAACUUUCAAGACAAUACAAGCCACCAUGUGGAUUUUGGAGUGACUCUAAAUCUUAACUAUGCAAAGUUGCCACUUUGCUAUAAUGUGCAACAUCUAAAUUGCCAUUAACACCAUGACCCCAAAUCAAAAAAAAAAUAAAAUAAAAAAUAAAAUAAAAUAAAAAAUAAAAAAAAUAAAAAUAAAAUAAAUAAAUAAAAUAAAAAAAAAAUAAAAUAAAAAAUAAUCAGAAGUACUUUCAUGAAUGACCACCAUGUGAGAAGCAUAAAAUGAUAAAAGACCUUCACAAAUUGUUGAGGCCAUAUUUAUUACGUUCUCAGGAUGACAUAUAGUAAUGAAGGCAUAUAUCAAGGAUAUGAGAGGCCCUCUUUGAAAGGUAUCUGGAUGUCUCACAUGUAUCAAAUGAUCAAAGCAGAUCUGGAUAUUAUGGACAGUUCCAGUGUAUCAGUUCUUAGUGAGAAACCUGCAUCUAAAGCAGGACAAUAAAAGGUCAUUUUGUUUUGCAGGAGAUUUUGAUUUUUAAAAAUUGGUUUACUUUGGAUUUGGAAUGAAAACCAAAAAUUUCAAAAUUCUUUGUGGAAAGGAAUGGAGCCCUGGCUAGCCUGAAGCCAGGGACCCUGAAAGCUCUGGGAGCCUGCGCUGCCCAGGAGCCGGGCAGGCAAGAUGGCAGGAAAAUAGGCAGGUUUCAUGACCUACUUGGGUCCCAUCAGAAUUUCAUCAAAAUUGAACCAUGUCUGUUUGGUUUUCAACAAAUUUGCGAAUACUGAUGAAUGCCGAUGGUAUGUGAUGACUUCUGACCAGUCUAUCGACAACAUUAAAGAUCGGUAAGUUUGUGUAGUCAGUUCAUUAUUACUGUUUUAUUUCUCUGUCAGUGUUAUGAAAGCAUUUUGCAUUGAAAGUCAAAUGUAGAUCUAGUCAGUGGAUGGUGGAGCUGAUUGUUGUGCACAGGGAGACAGUAGAACCCCAAACUUAGCAGUAAAUAUUUUCCUUCUUUUUAUUUAUUUUUUCUUAUUUUUCUCCUGUUGCAGCUUUCUUUACAUGUUCUUUGCUGACAACAUUAGUCCUUUGUGCCUUUCUUAUGAAUGACUUUUCUUGUGAAUUUUGUAAGAUACUUGUUCCCACUUUUCAUGGUUGGUGAUAAGUUGAAUUACUCCAGACACACUCUUGUUUUGCAGUUUAUAUCCAACUCAUAAUUUAAUCAUUUGAAAAUAGAUAUGUUCUUUGUAGAGUGGUAGAUUAUCUAUUUUUUUUUGUGUGUGUGAAUCAAACAGAAGUCAAUUAAAAUAACAAAACAAAAACUAUAUAAUCAGGCAAAGAAGAGACUAAAGCAAGGCUAGAUUGCUACAAGAUUAUCAACACCUUUUAUGAAAGGAAUCUAGCGCCUACCAUCUAGUGUAUACAAUAGUCUGAACAGUACUAAAUAAACUACUGCUUUAUGCUGGACACCUCACAAACUAUUGCCCAGUGUGUUACCUUCCUUUCCUAAGUAAGAUAGUUGGCCAGCUUGCAGAAAACAGUCUCUGAUGCCCUCUGUUAGCUGCCAGGACCUGGGAUCCCUCUCAGUCAGGCUUCAGAUCAGGGAAUAUGGCAUCUAUGGCAUCUGACAGUAUUGAUCACCAGCUAGUCUUGGCCAUCAUGAAAAGGUUACUGAAGUGAACAGAAAUGCCCUGAAAUGGCUUUGGUCCUUCUUCCCUGUCAGUGGCUUGGAACUGGCUGCUGUUUCUCUCUCUGGAGUCCUCCAAGGCUCAAUCCUCCAAUCCUCCAUUUUAGUCAACAUCUGUGUGAAGCUAUUGAGAGAGCUGGUGAAACAAUACAAGGUGAUGUGAUAGCAGCACACAGACAACACACAGUUCGACAACUUGUGUCAGGCAUAUGUAGCACCAUCUCCCAGCUUUCUCAGUGCCUGGCCGAAACCAACACUUGGAUGAAGAACAGCUGCCCAAAGCUGAAUCCAAGCAAGACUAAGGUGAUGUUGAUAGGAAGAGGCUGAAGUGCUGAAUUCAGACCUUUCACAGGAGCUGGGCCUGGAUUAUGGGACUCGCUUCCCCAAGAGAUAAGAAUGACCAUGGAACUAACUACUUCAGAACGAGAUGUAAAACUCACUUCUGCAACUCAGCUUCCCCUCAAUAAUUUCUUCACACAUGCCACAUCCAUUCAUUCACACAUGCAUAUCUACAAGCCUAAACAAGCAAAUAAAAAGCCUGUAGUCUUUCUCCUUGGAAGAAAGCAAGCAUGGUGGUUGUGAUUUUGUUUUUGAGAUACUUGGGCGGUGCUCUCAUAUGACACAAACACCUAGAAGGUUAAAAUAAGAGAAAAUGUUCAAACCUGGGUGUCUAAAGUUAGACUCCUAAAUCCAUAUUUAGGCAACUAAAUACAAAUGGCCUGUUUUCAAAGGCUAAGGUUGCUAACAGAUUCUCCUUCAGUGCAUGUGGGACAUAGAUACUCUGAGUUCUACUAUGCUCUCGUUUAAAUAUUCCUGGUGUGAAGCAUGGUUACAGCUGUGAAUUCCUAUGUUCCCAUACAGUUGUUGUGAAUAUAUAUAUUUUUAUAAUGGAAAUGUAACAUAGGCCUUCUCACUGGUAAAGAGAUUUCACAUAUGUAACACUAUCUUCUGCAAGGGGUAAAUGGUCAUUCAUAAAGUCAUUUUGUAAAGGUCUUGUAUGAGUUCUUUUUGGGACUCAGAGAUUAGCCCAACAGCAGAAAUGACAGGUUCUGUAUGUGCUGAAAGGAGGGUAAGUGUGAUGGGAAAAAAAUGAAGGACAUACAGUCAAACACACACAAUAGCCUGAAAUUAAACACUUCCCUUGGGGAGGUAUGCUCUCUGUGGCCAUGAAAACUGUUUUCUAUCCGCCCAGCACAGUAUGUUAUUAGAGAGAAAAAAUAGACCACAUUGUAAUGUGUGUUCUUUCAAAUACUUUAUGAAGAAACUUGGCUGGCUUACUCUCUUGCUCUUUGAGUGGCUUCUGUCUGCUGUUCCUGAAACAGAUUGUUGUGACUGAAGCUGUGACAAAAAAACCUAAAUGUGGAUGUCCACAAUUUUUGAAGUGUCCACAGAAAAUAUCACAAAAUAGUGCAAGCUGAAAUCACUUCCCUGGAGAAGU